CUUGGCGACCAUAGCACUUUGGACCCACCUGAUUUCCAUUCCGAACUCAGAAGUGAAACGAAGUAGCGUCGAUGGUAGU
Molecule: ribosomal RNA, 79 nt
Filed under: Vibrio parahaemolyticus
Lineage: Bacteria; Pseudomonadati; Pseudomonadota; Gammaproteobacteria; Vibrionales; Vibrionaceae
Source: RNAcentral